CUGCCCUUUGUACACACCGCCCGUCGCUACUACCGAUUGAAUGGCUCAGUGAGGCGUCCGGACUGGCCCAGAGAGGUGGGCAACUACCACUCAGGGCCGGAAAGCUCUCCAAACUCGGUCAUUUAGAGGAAGUAAAAGUCGUAACAAGGUCUCCGUUGGUGAACCAGCGGAGGGAUCAUUACCGAGUUUACAACUCCCAAACCCCUGUGAACAUACCACUUGUUGCCUCGGCGGAUCAGCCCGCUCCCGGUAAAACGGGACGGCCCGCCAGAGGACCCCUAAACUCUGUUUCUAUAUGUAACUUCUGAGUAAAACCAUAAAUAAAUCAAAACUUUCAACAACGGAUCUCUUGGUUCUGGCAUCGAUGAAGAACGCAGCAAAAUGCGAUAAGUAAUGUGAAUUGCAGAAUUCAGUGAAUCAUCGAAUCUUUGAACGCACAUUGCGCCCGCCAGUAUUCUGGCGGGCAUGCCUGUUCGAGCGUCAUUUCAACCCUCAAGCACAGCUUGGUGUUGGGACUCGCGUUAAUUCGCGUUCCUCAAAUUGAUUGGCGGUCACGUCGAGCUUCCAUAGCGUAGUAGUAAAACCCUCGUUACUGGUUUUCGUCGCGGCCACGCCGUUAAACCCCAACUUCUGAAUGUUGACCUCGGAUCAGGUAGGAAUACCCGCUGAACUUAAG
RNAcentral lists this non-coding RNA (676 nucleotides) under Fusarium oxysporum. Its description in RNAcentral is "eukaryotic LSU rRNA". The stretch from base 1 to 181 matches the Rfam family "Eukaryotic small subunit ribosomal RNA", at positions 1653 to 1831 of the family's 1831-position model. The record is from RNAcentral. RNAcentral also lists the same sequence under 1 other name. Lineage: Eukaryota; Fungi; Ascomycota; Sordariomycetes; Hypocreales; Nectriaceae.